This 280-nucleotide signal recognition particle RNA is filed under the name Microcebus murinus (gray mouse lemur). RNAcentral's name for it is "Metazoan signal recognition particle RNA (ENSMICG00000046013.1)". It matches the Rfam family "Metazoan signal recognition particle RNA". Rfam says of the family: The signal recognition particle (SRP) is a universally conserved ribonucleoprotein. It is involved in the co-translational targeting of proteins to membranes. Lineage: Eukaryota; Metazoa; Chordata; Mammalia; Primates; Cheirogaleidae. The record is from RNAcentral.
GCCAGGUGUGGUGGCAUAGGCCCCUUGUCCCAGCUACUUGGGAGGCUGAGGCAGGAGGAUUGCUUGAGCCCAAAAGUUUUGGACUGUAGGGUGCUAUAUUGAUUGGGUGUCAGCACUAAGUUCAGCAUCAAUACAGUGACCUCCCAGGAGUAGCGCCACCAGGAUGCUUAAGGGUGAACCGGCCCAGGUUGGAAACAGAACAGGUCAAAGCUCCCGUGCUCUGGUCAGUAGCAAUAGCCACUGCACUCCAGCCUGGGCAACAUAGCAAGACUCUAUCUCA